GGGACACGUGGUAUCCUGUCUGAAUAUGGGGGGACCAUCCUCCAAGGCUAAAUACUCCUGACUGACCGAUAGUGAACCAGUACCGUGAGGGAAAGGCGAAAAGAACCCCGGCGAGGGGAGUGAAAAAGAACCUGAAACCGUGUACGUACAAGCAGUGGGAGCACGCUUAGGCGUGUGACUGCGUACCUUUUGUAUAAUGGGUCAGCGACUUAUAUUCUGUAGCAAGGUUAACCGAAUAGGGGAGCCGAAGGGAAACCGAGUCUUAACUGGGCGUUAAGUUGCAGGGUAUAGACCCGAAACCCGGUGAUCUAGCCAUGGGCAGGUUGAAGGUUGGGUAACACUAACUGGAGGACCGAACCGACUAAUGUUGAAAAAUUAGCGGAUGACUUGUGGCUGGGGGUGAAAGGCCAAUCAAACCGGGAGAUAGCUGGUUCUCCCCGAAAGCUAUUUAGGUAGCGCCUCGUGAAUUCAUCUCCGGGGGUAGAGCACUGUUUCGGCAAGGGGGUCAUCCCGACUUACCAACCCGAUGCAAACUGCGAAUACCGGAGAAUGUUAUCACGGGAGACACACGGCGGGUGCUAACGUCCGUCGUGAAGAGGGAAACAACCCAGACCGCCAGCUAAGGUCCCAAAGUCAUGGUUAAGUGGGAAACGAUGUGGGAAGGCCCAGACAGCCAGGAUGUUGGCUUAGAAGCAGCCAUCAUUUAAAGAAAGCGUAAUAGCUCACUGGUCGAGUCGGCCUGCGCGGAAGAUGUAACGGGGCUAAACCAUGCACCGAAGCUGCGGCAGCGACACUAUGUGUUGUUGGGUAGGGGAGCGUUCUGUAAG
RNAcentral lists this ribosomal RNA (827 nucleotides) under Escherichia coli. RNAcentral describes it as "partial 23S ribosomal RNA". It matches the Rfam family "Bacterial large subunit ribosomal RNA", at positions 419 to 1247 of the family's 2925-position model. Lineage: Bacteria; Pseudomonadati; Pseudomonadota; Gammaproteobacteria; Enterobacterales; Enterobacteriaceae. The record is from RNAcentral.